This is an RNA transcript of Lotus japonicus, 5659 nucleotides long. It is a transcript of the gene named putative disease resistance protein At4g11170, with no coding region annotated. Lineage: Eukaryota; Viridiplantae; Streptophyta; Magnoliopsida; Fabales; Fabaceae. The transcript has 7 exons. The record is from RefSeq and is a predicted model, not a curated record.
CCAGUAUGCAUUAAUUAAAGAGCACCGUGGUUGUUUCUUUCUUUCUUUCUUUACACUAGCAGUGGCUAUGUCGUCGUCUUCUUCUUCUUCUCGUGUGUUUCCUAAGAAGUAUGAUGUUUUCAUUAGCUUCAGAAAUGAGGACACCGUAGGCGACUUCAUUAGUUAUCUUCGUGCUGCUCUGAGAGACAAGAAUAUCAUAACCUAUACAGAUGAUCGACGACAAAAAAGAGGAGAUGAUGUUGGAUCUGAACUUAAGAAAGCGAUCAAGGACUCGGUGAUGGCUGUUGUGGUGUUCUCAAAAAGAUACGCAACUUCAACAUGGUGUUUGCAAGAAAUGGUCCAAAUGAUGGAGUGCAGAAGAGAUGAGGGGCAGGUUGUUAUACCAGUGUUCUACAAAGCAUAUCAAACAGACGUAAGGCACCAGACAGGGAGUUACAAGGAACCGUUUGAAGAACAUUAUCGAGCUGCCAUGGAAGAUAAAAAGGAGCAAGACAAAGUGGAUAGUUGGAGAGAUGCUCUCACUCAAGCAGCCAACAUAUCUGGAUGGCACUACUUUAACCACGAGGACAAAUCUCGAGUCCUACAGAAUGUUGUUAAUGAUGUUUUGCAAAAGCUGCAGCUGAGGCACCCUAAAAAUCUAGAAGGCCUAGUUGGAAUUGAGGAACAAUGUAGAGCUAUUGAACGUUUUUUGGGAAAAGUUGGAAAAAUUGGAGUUUGGGGCAUGGCUGAAACAGGUAAGACAACCGUUGCUAAAGCCUUAUUUGCCAGACACUUCCCUCAAUAUGACAGUGUAUGCUUCUUGCAAAAUGUAAGAGAAGAAUCAGAAAAGCACGGACUACCACACGUCCGUAAAAAUCUUCUCUCUGAGCUGCUAAAGGAACAAGUUACAACCUCCAACUUUUUAUUUGGAUCCAUUGAGUGGAGGCUCAGUAGUAAAAAAAUUCUCAUUGUGCUUGAUGAUGUACAUGAGUAUGAGCAGUUAAAAUAUUUGUGUGAAGAACUUGGUGACUUGGGAGAAGGUAGUGCUCUCAUUGUAACCACAAGAGAAAAACAAGUGCUUAAUGGAAGAGUUGAUAAGAUAUAUGAGGCAAAAAAAUGGACUAUGUCGUUGUGUGUUGCUCCUAAGAAAUACGAUGUUUUCAUUAGCUUCAGAGGUGAGGACACUAGAGACAACUUCACUAGCUAUCUCCGUACGGCUCUGAGAGACAAAAAUAUCAUAACCUAUACAGAUGAUCGACUAAAGAAAGGAGAUAAUGUUGGAUCAGAACUAGAGAAAGCAAUCAAGGACUCCAUGAUGGCGGUUGUAGUGUUCUCAGAAAGAUACGCAACUUCAAAAUGGUGUUUGCAAGAAGUGGUCCAAAUAAUGGACUGCAGAAGAGAUGAGGGACAGGUUGUUAUACCAGUGUUCUACAAAACAAAUCCUACAGACGUACGACAUCAGACAGGGAGUUACCAGAAACCAUUUGAAGAAUAUUAUCGAGCAGCCAGGAAAGAUAAAAAGGAGCAAGACAAAGUGGAUAGUUGGAAAGAUGCUCUCACUCAAGCAGCCAACAUAUCUGGAUGGGACUCAAGUAAUCACAAGGACGAUUCUCAAGUCCUACGGAACGUUGUUAACGAUGUUUUGCAAAAGCUGCAGCUGAGGUAUCCUAAAAAUCUAGAAGGCCUAGUUGGAAUUGACGAACAAUGUAAAGCUAUUGAAUGUUUUUUGGGAAAACAUGGAAGAAUUGGAGUUUGGGGCAUGGGGGGAACAGGUAAGACAACCAUAGCUAAAGCCUUAUUUGCCAAACACUUCCCUCAAUAUGAUAGUGUAUGCUUCUUGCAAAAUGUAAGAGAAGAAACAGAAAAGCACGGACUACCACACGUCCGUAAAAAUCUUCUAUCUGAGCUGCUAAAGGAACAAGUUACAACCUCAUACAUUUUUGGAUCCAUUGAGUGGAGGCUCAAAAGUAAAAAAGUUCUCAUCGUGCUUGAUGAUGUACAUGAGUCUGAGCAAUUAAAAUUUCUGUGUGAAGAACUUGGUGACUUGGGAGAAGGUAGUGCUGUCAUUGUAACCACAAGAGAAAAACAAGUGCUUAAUGGAAGAGUUGAUGAGAUAUAUGAGGCCAAGACAUGGGGCUUUGAAAAAUCUCUUGAGUUCUUUUGCUUAGAAGCUUUCAAGAAAAGGGAGCCAGAAAAGGGUUAUGAGGAUCUGUCACAAAGGGCAGUUACAUAUGCAGGAGGCGUUGCGUUGGCUUUAGAAGUUUUGGGUGCACACUUUCGUUCCAAAGGAACUAAAUUCUGGGAAUCUGAAUUGAGUCACUUGGAGAGCAGAAAAGAACCCUUAAAGAAAGUUCAACAGCUUUUACUAGUGAGCUAUCAUGCAUUGUCAGGGCGAGAGCAGGCAAUACUCCUAGACAUUGCUUCCUUUCUCAAAGACGAAAAUAGAGAUUCUGUCAUAAGUAUACUAGAUGCAUGUGGUUUCAAUGCUACUAGUGGAAUGGAAAUACUUAAAGAUAAAGCUCUUAUAAGUACAUCAAAGACCAAUACUAUACACAUGCACGACUUGCUACAAGACAUGGCUUUGGAUAUAGUUCGAAAUGAUGUAAGAGGCAGCCGAUUGAGGGAUAUUGAACAAGUUUGUGAUGUGCUUCAAUAUGAUGACAAGGGAAUUCGUCAUGUUGAAGGAAUAGCAUUGGAUUUGUCUCAGGAAGUAGAUUUGCAACUGAGUGAUGACAUAUUCAACAGGAUGCCUAAAUUGAGAAUUUUUAGAUUAUAUGUCCCAGCUGGUAAGCAGAGAAUAGCUAAUGUUAUUUACAAUCCCAGACUCCUCCAUAACCACAGGCCAGGUUCUGCUGUAAGGUACUUUGAGUGGAACGGAUACCCUUCCAAGUCUCUUCCACCAAAUUUUUCUGCUAAGCUUCUUGUUGCGAUUCGCAUGCCACAGAGUGAUGUUGAAGAACUUUGGGAGGGGACGCAGGAGCUUAAGAAUUUAGAGAUAAUUGACCUAAGUGAAUGCAAGCAGUUGGUGAAGCUCCCUGAUUUGUCUAAAGCAUCCAAACUCCAAUGGGUAUAUCUCUCAGGAUGUGAAAGUUUGUGUGUUGUUCAUCCAUCGCUUUUAUCUUUGGAUACACUAGUUACUUUGAUACUGGAUAGGUGCGAAAAACUCAAGAGUCUUUUAAGUGAAAAGCAUUUAAACCACCUGGAGGACCUCAAUGUGAAUGAUUGUUCAAGUCUCGAGGAAUUUGCAGUGUCCUCUGAUUCAAUUGAAAGGUUGGAUCUAAGCAAGAUUGGAGUUAAAAAAUUGUACUCAUCAAUAGGUCGUCUAAGCAAGCUUGUGUGGCUCAAUAUAGAUGGUUCAAGGCUGGAGAGUCUUCCUGAUGAGUUAUCACACCUGCCAUCUCUAAAGGAGCUAAGGAUUUCUAACUGCGUACUAAUUGACAAAGAGAAGCUACAUGUCCUGUGUGCUGGCUUAGGAACCUUAAAAUUACUACAUCUGAAGGAAUGUUAUGAGUUGUUUGAACUCCCAGACAACAUCAGUGCCUUGUCAUCAUUGCGAGAAUUACGGCUCGAUGGAAGCAGUGUGGAGAAGUUGCCUACAAGUAUCAAGCUUCUUGAAAAGCUUGAGAUUCUCUCGUUGGAUAAUUGUAGGACACUCAAGUUUAUACCUGAGCUUCCAUUGUUUAUUGUAGAGCUUCACGCUGUCAACUGUACCGCAUUGGUGACGGUAUCCACUUUAAAGACUCUUUCAGUGAAGAUGAUAGGAAAGGAGAAACACAUAUCAUUUAUGAAUGCAAUGAAGCUGAAUGAAUGUUCCCUCCGGGUUAUUGAGGAUAUUUUGUUCACAAUGAAGAGUGCUGAGAUGCAAAAUAUAUAUGUAAACAAGUUCAGAUUGGAUGUCAACAGUUACAAUCCAAAUAGUGUUGCGGUUUGCUUACCAGGAAGCAAUGUUCCCUCAGGCUCAGGCUUGGGGCAAGGGUCUUUCGCAUAUCGAAGCACAGGGUCCUCAAUUAUCAUUGAGCCUCAUGACAGAAGUUUGUCCCGCUGGCUAGGCACCAUUUAUUCUGUGGUUCUUUCUCCAUCACUUGGAUUGACAUUAAGUGGUGCUAAAAUCCAAUGCCGAAUAUACGGGAAAGACAAAGAUGAGGAAUGCAAGACCACAUGGUAUGGCAAAGACAUCGGGGAAUUCGAUUCGGAUCAUGUUUUUGUAUGGCAUGGUUCAAGUGUCGAUGAUGCACAAGUUUUUGAGUUCUUUGUUACAAUAGAUGGAGGGGUAAACAUUAUUGACCAGAUCAAACUAAAAGAGUGUGGGAUUCACCUGAUGUGUUACUCAAAUUCUGAGCUUCAGAGUUUCUUAGGUGAAGCACCGGAAUUGGAACCGGAGAUCAAGUCGGAGUUGAGUAAGAAGUUGCAAAUGUCGUUGAACUUGCAGCAGGAUGAUAAUAAGAAAGCGGUUAACGAAUUGCCUUCAAUGGUGGAUCCAUCUGCUAGCUAUAGCAGCAGUUUGGAGGAAGCUGAAUUAUGGAAUAGUGAGGAAGCGGCAGCUGCUUCAUGGCGUGAAUGGCAGGAUGAUCCAUAUCUGAGUAAUUGGAGGGAUUGAACAUGGUGGAUGAUUGGAAUCACGACCCCGAUCAGUUUCAGCAUUCUUGCUUUCACACUUAGCAGAAAAGACUUCCUUGCUUUGGUGCGUGCUUGAAAUUGGUUGAAUGGUUUUGUUUGUGAAGGCACAAAGCUUGGAAGAGACAGGCCCCGAUAUUUCAUUUGGUUUGGUUAGUUCCGGUUUCGUCAAAUGUAAGAGCUUUUAUUUGGCGAUUGCUGCGGGAUAGGCUCCAAACAAAGGAUAAUAAGAGGCGUAUUAUAGUGAGCGGGGAUGAAUCCUUAUGCCCCUUUGUGGGUUGGAGAAGGAGUCUACCAAUCACUUAUUUCUUCUUUGCGCUGCAACUCUGAUUGUCUUGGAGUGGUGUCUUCACUGUUGCCUACACCGAGGGAUCAUUUGAUGCAAUUCUCUGUCAUUGGUACAAACAAAGCUCAGCGAGCAGGGGAGUAUGCUAUUUGGAUGGCAAUUCUGUGGACCGUUUGGCUAGCUCGAAACAAAGCGAUCUUCAAUGGGGCAGAAUUUGACAGUAAUCAGAUCUUGGAAUUGGCUCAGCUAAAAGCAUGGAAGUGGCUAAAAGCAAAAGUUGACGGAUUCAACUACUCAUGGUUUGAAUGACAACAGAAUCCGGGCAUGUGUAUUUUGUCAUUAUGAGGAUGAGAAGGGCGAUUCGGGUUUCCCUACGGAUUCAGUGGUGCUAUCGUGAUGAACACUGAUUUGGAACAGCUAAAGCAUUUUAAUGACAGCAUGCGUUUGGGAGGCACAAUUGGGUGGUGGUGUAUUAUACCAGUCAAGGGUAUUAUUUUUAUGUUCCAUGGAGCAUGUGUAAUCAUCAUCAUCAUGGAGUUUGGCUCUAUGGGAAACACAUAUUUCUUGUCUGCGCAUGAUUCUUACUGGGUAUUGGGGUCAUUGAGAUAGAUUAUUAUAUGGUUGUAAUAUGGCCAUUAUGUCUCAGUAUGUUUUUCAGGGGGUCUCUCCUUGGAAGUGUUGCCUUGAGGGCUCAAAAUAUGUAUCUUACAUUGUUUUUUUCUUUCUCUUUUCCUAUCUUUUUUAUUGGGUUGAAGUACCCUUGUACUUCAUUUCAAUAUA